This 87-nucleotide transfer RNA is filed under the name compost metagenome. Its description in RNAcentral is "tRNA-Leu". It matches the Rfam family "tRNA". From Rfam's summary of the family: Transfer RNA (tRNA) molecules are approximately 80 nucleotides in length. The record is from RNAcentral.
GCACCUGUGCUUGGAAUGACAGACAGGUCACGCUUAGACCGUGAUGCCCGAAAGGGCGUGGGGGUUCAAGUCCCUUCAGGUGCACCA